UACGGGGGGGGCAAGCGUUGUUCGGAAUUACUGGGCGUAAAGGGCGUGUAGGCGGCCAACUAAGUCCGACGUGAAAUCCCCAGGCUUAACCUGGGAACUGCGUCGGAUACUGGAUGGCUUGAAUCCGGGAGAGGGAUGCGGAAUUCCAGGUGUAGCGGUGAAUGCGUAGAUAUCUGGAGGAACACCGGUGGCGAAGGCGGCAUCCUGGACCGGCAUUGACGCUAAAGCGCGAAAGCCAGGGGAGCAAACGGG
Molecule: ribosomal RNA, 252 nt
Filed under: uncultured bacterium
Lineage: Bacteria
Description: partial 16S ribosomal RNA
Rfam family: Bacterial small subunit ribosomal RNA
Source: RNAcentral